RNAcentral lists this ribosomal RNA (525 nucleotides) under uncultured bacterium. RNAcentral describes it as "bacterial SSU rRNA". It matches the Rfam family "Bacterial small subunit ribosomal RNA", at positions 984 to 1509 of the family's 1533-position model. The record is from RNAcentral.
ACAUCCAGCGAACUUGGCAGAGAUGCCUUGGUGCCUUCGGGAACGCUGAGACAGGUGCUGCAUGGCUGUCGUCAGCUCGUGUUGUGAAAUGUUGGGUUAAGUCCCGNAACGAGCGCAACCCUUAUCCUUUGUUGCCAGCGAUUCGGUCGGGAACUCAAAGGAGACUGCCGGUGAUAAACCGGAGGAAGGUGGGGAUGACGUCAAGUCAUCAUGGCCCUUACGAGUAGGGCUACACACGUGCUACAAUGGCGCAUACAAAGAGAAGCGACCUCGCGAGAGCAAGCGGACCUCAUAAAGUGCGUCGUAGUCCGGAUCGGAGUCUGCAACUCGACUCCGUGAAGUCGGAAUCGCUAGUAAUCGUGGAUCAGAAUGCCACGGUGAAUACGUUCCCGGGCCUUGUACACACCGCCCGUCACACCAUGGGAGUGGGUUGCAAAAGAAGUAGGUAGCUUAACCCUCGGGAGGGCGCUUACCACUUUGUGAUUCAUGACUGGGGUGAAGUCGUAACAAGGUAGGCGUAGCGAG